RNAcentral lists this transfer RNA (64 nucleotides) under Myrmoplasta mira. Its description in RNAcentral is "tRNA-Arg". The record is from RNAcentral. Lineage: Eukaryota; Metazoa; Arthropoda; Insecta; Hemiptera; Pyrrhocoridae.
AAGUAAUGAAGUAAAAUUUUACAAUUAGUUUCGACCUAAUCCAUGGGAAAUAUCCCCUUACUUA